This 377-nucleotide ribosomal RNA is filed under the name uncultured organism. RNAcentral describes it as "partial 16S ribosomal RNA". It matches the Rfam family "Bacterial small subunit ribosomal RNA", at positions 527 to 896 of the family's 1533-position model. The record is from RNAcentral.
GUAGGGUCCGAGCGUUAUCCGGGAUCAUUGGGCGUAAAGAGCUCGUAGGCGGUUCAGCAAGUCGGCUGUGAAAGUUCGAGGCUCAACCUCGAAAUUGCAGUCGAUACUGCUGUGACUUGAAUUCGGUAGAGGAGAAUGGAAUUCCCGGUGUAGCGGUGAAAUGCGCAGAUAUCGGGAGGAACACCAGUAGCGAAGGCGGUUCUCUGGGCCGAUAUUGACGCUGAGGAGCGAAAGCGUGGGGGGAGCAAACAGGAUUAGAUACCCUGGUAGUCCACGCCCGUAAACGUUGGAUGCUAGGUGUGGCGGUCUACCAACGACUGCCGUGCCGAAGCUAACGCAUUAAGCAUCCCCGCCUGGGGAGUACGGCCGCAAGGCUA